Saccostrea echinata is the source of this 329-nucleotide long non-coding RNA. RefSeq lists it as uncharacterized. NCBI's taxonomy places the organism in Eukaryota, Metazoa, Mollusca, Bivalvia, Ostreida, Ostreidae. The record is from RefSeq and is a predicted model, not a curated record. The transcript is spliced from 3 exons.
CUAUCCACAUCAGUUUGUCAUCAUCAUUCUGACUGCAAUGGACACAUCUGUCCCUCUGAUAAACACCCUUACUGCAAAAUCGAUAGAUAUUCCUCAACAUGUGAUUGUACAGGUAUUAAGUGUCCUACAUGUGAUGAAUCAUUAAACUGCGUGUGGAAUCAGACAUGUUAUCCGGAGGAGAGUUGUAUGAUACGAAGCUAUCAAGGAACAAAGUCCACAACGCAUUGUACAAGGAAAGAGGACUGCUCUUUUAUAAAGAACUUGUUGAAAAAUGGAGAAGUCUUCUGUUGUAAUGACCGGGAUUGCUUACGAUCUUACCUUGGAUUAUA